GAAAACUUCUUCAUCAUUUUGACAGCACACUUGCUGCAAAUACUCGCAACACAACGAAAUACAAAAACAAGCUUCAAAUGCUCAAAACACAAACAAAUACAGAAACAAGCUGCAAAUACUGAACACAAACAAAAUUACCCCAACAAAACGAAAAUUAACCUUUUUUUUGGCGUAUUGAUUACCAUCUGUAUAACCACAGUUGUACAAAUACCAUGGCUAAUAAUAUCCACACAAAAAAGCAACAACAACAACAAAAAAGCUAAGGAAUCAUAUGAUCAGGAUGUUAAAAUAAACAAAGAUCUUUUCAGAGCAAACAUUGAUAAAUUAUGUCCUAGCCAUAUUUGUCACUUUACGGUUCCCUUAAAUAUUUCAGAUGUGGUCUGUGUUUUUGCAGCACGUUUCUUUAUUUAUUUGUAUUGUGAGUAUUUGCAGCGCGUGUUGUCAAACUGAUGAAGAUGUUUUCUUAAUUUGCAGGUGUUUUAUCAUUUGCAGUGCGUUAAGCUCUCUCGGCCACCGUAGCAGGUCCUGUUGGGGUAUGGAUGUGUUUGUUUUGGUGCUAAAGAAUCGGGUCAGGGCAGACGCAGGCUGAAGCACAAUAAUAAUCUUACCAUUACUUUGUACCCACCUUCUCACUACAGGCUGUUCUGUUGUCAAUAAACACACCUGACGAUGGUGCUGCCACUGCAGUUUAUGUUCUCUGUGUGUGUAUGUGCUAUGACUCCUGACCCCGGGGUCCUAUGAGGAGCUGGUAGCUGCCUUAGUUGUGCCUGUAGUGGUAACCAUAGUGAUCAUAUACAGGUGCAUCUCAAAAAAUUUGAAUAUCAUGGAAAAGUUCUUUAUUUUUUGUAAUUUAAUUAAAAAAGCAAACUUUCUUACAGUAUAUUCUAGAUUCACUGCACACAAACUGAAAUAUUUCAAGAGUUUUUUGUUUUAAUUCUGAUGGUUACCACUUGCAGUUUAGAAAAAUAAAAAAUUCAGUAUCUCAAAAAAUUUCAAUAUUUUCAAAGAUCAAUCAAAAAAAGAUUUACAAAACAGAAAUGUUCAAAGAUCUCCAAAGCAGGUUUAAUUAUGCACUCAAUACUUGGUUGGGGCUCCUUUUGCAGGAAUUACUGUUUCAGUGCGGUGUGGCAUGAAGGUGAUCAGCCUGUGGCACUGCUGAGGUGUUAUUGAAGCCCAGGUUGCUUUGAUAGCGGCCUUCAGCUCCUCUGUAUUGUUUUUCAGAUGUUACUUAUCUUCCUCUUCACAAUACCCCUUAGAUUCUCUGUGAGGUUCAGGUCAGGCAUGCUGUCUGGCCAAUCAAGGACAGUAAUAUCAUGGUCAGCAAACCACUUGGAAUUGGUUUUGGCACUGUGAGCAGGUGCUAAAGUCCUGCUGCAAAAAGAAAUCAGCAUCUCCAUAAAGCUUGUCAGCAGAUGGAAGCAUAAAGUGCUCCAAAAUCUCCUGGUAGAUGGCUGCAUUGACUUUGGACUUGAUAAAACACAAUGAACCAACACCAGCAGAUGGAAUGGCACCCAAAUCAUUUCUGACUCCAGAAACUUCACACUGGACUUUGGAUUCUGUGCCUCUCCAGUCUUCCUCCAGACCUUGAUUUCCAAAUGAAAUGCAAAAUUUAUUUAAUCUGAAAAGAGGACUGUGGACCACUGAGCAACAGUCCAGUUCUUUUUCUCCUUACCCCAGGUGAAAUGAUUCUGAUGUUUUUCUGGUUCAGGAGUGGCUUGGUUCUAGGAAUGUGAAACCUGUAGCUCUUUUCCUGAAGAUGUCUGAGCGUGGUGACUCUUGAUGUGCUGACUCCGGCUUCAGUCCACUCCUUGUGAAGCUCUCCCAAGUUCUUGAAUCGGCUUUUCAUGACAAUCUUCCCAAGGCUGUGGUCAUCCCUGCUGCUUUGUGCACCUUUUCCGACCACACUUUUUCCUUCCAGUCAACUUUCUAUGAAUAUAUUUUGAUAUAGCACUCUGUGAACAGCCAGCCCUUUCAGCGAUGUCCUUCAGUGGCUUACCCUCCUUGUGGAGGGUGUUGAUGAUCGUCUUCUGGAUAACUGUUGCAUGUUCUAAACUAGCCCAAGAGGUACCCAGUAUUUAUACUCAAAAUUAAUCAAACUAAUCAAGCUCAAAAUGGAAUAUUCAAAUUUUUUGAGAUACUUAAUUUUUAAUUUUCCUGAGCUGUAAGUUGUAACCAUCAGAAUUAAAACAAAAAACUAUUGAAUUAUUUCAGUUUCUGUGCAAUGAAUGUAGAAUAUAAGAAAGUUUGCUUUUUUUAAUUAAAUUACAAAAAAUAAAGACCUUUUCUAUGAUAUUCAAAUUUUUUGAGAUGCACCUGUACUAUCAUCUUUGACUGAUCUGUUGAAUUUUCUGGACUGAAAAAAUUUGACUGCUGGACAGCUUGGUCCCCGCCAGUUAAAAAAAUCCUAUCUGCGCCCCUGAAGGCGGAAUAGGUGGAAUUGUGCUGAUAUAAGUGUUCUUUCACGCGCACGCUCCACUUCCUCAGUUCUCAUAUACACUCAAAUACACACACAGCAGUCCAAAUGUUUAUCGUGUAGAGUAUCUCACGUAAAUAUAGUAGGUUAUGGAUUAAGUGAACGUGAACAGGUGGGUGAAAACUGAACGUGUGUCAGUAUUUCAUGCAUGCCUUCCAUCUUAAAAGGACAGCAUUCCAAAUUAAAUACCUAUCUGUCAUUAAUGUUAACCAACAAAAGAUGUUAAAUAAAUGUAUACAUGUUAAGUAAAACCUACUGUAUCUGAAAAAUGAGUUUAAUUUGUAUCUCUAUUGUAUUUGUCUUAUUGUGCUUCUUUUAUAUAUAUAUAUAUAGAGAGAGAGAGAGAGAGAGAAAGAGAGAGAGAAUAAUAUUUUUAUAAGUUGCUCCUUUUUCACUACUGUUAAAGGGAUAGUUCACCCAAAAAUGAAAAUUGUCAUAAUUUAUUCAAGUUUUUCCAAAUUCAGUCCUUGAUUCAAAUUUCUCAUAAGCUUAAUUGAUUUGGUCUAAAGAGAGAAGAAUUAAUGAUAAUGAAUAAAAAUAGCUACCAAAAUAAAUUUUGGUAACUACAGUUUGGCUAAAACUAUUGACUAAAAGUAAUGACUAAAAGUUGACAAAAAUGCAAUGACUUUUCGUUCGACUAAAACUAUGAAAGACUCAAAUGACUAAAAUGUGACUAAGACUAUUAAGCAUUUUCUUCUCAAAUCAACAAUGCCUGCCAAAAUUAACACUGUUGUGUACAGUCGUGGCCAAAAGUUUUGAGAAUUACAUAAAUAUUGGAAAUUGGAAAAGUUGCUGCUUAAGUUUUUAUAAUAGCAAUUUGCAUAUACUCCAGAAUGUUAUGAAGAGUGAUCAGAUGAAUUGCAUAGUCCUUCUUUGCCAUGAAAAUUAACUUAAUCCCAAAAAAAACUUUCCACUGCAUUUCAUUGCUGUCAUUAAAGGACCUGCUGAGAUCAUUUCAGUAAUCAUCUUGUUAACUCAGGUGAGAAUGUUGACGAGCACAAGGCUUGAGAUCAUUAUGUCAGGCUGAUUGGGUUAGAAUGGCAGACUU
Molecule: long non-coding RNA, 3521 nt
Organism: Cyprinus carpio carpio
Lineage: Eukaryota; Metazoa; Chordata; Actinopteri; Cypriniformes; Cyprinidae
Source: Ensembl